UGACGCGUCGCGUUCUGGACGCUGUAGCAUGCCGGCGGCGUGCGUGUCGGCUAGGCCCAGCAGCUAUGGAGUUCGUCUCGGCAAGCAGUCCUGUGCAACGGCGCCCGGUCGGUGUGCCACCAUACCGCGUCCCGCCCCUCUCGGGUCUAUACCGAAUGCGCUACCAUCCGCCCACGCAAGACAGCACCUCAUCCGAUCGUCUCCGUGCAGAGAGUGGUGUUGAGGGGUCGGGUGACGCGGUAUCUGGCACUCGCACUGCUUGCCGUGCAACCACUGGUCCCCCCGCCCAAGCUGGUGCAAACUCCGCUGCAGCGCGCCAUGCAGCAGUCCAUCAGCAGCUUCUCCGCGCGUCCUCGCUCCUUGAUGAUGGCAUAGAUUUGUUCGCUCUAUACUCGUUAUGCGAGGUGGAGCCGGUGCCGUGCAAGCUCUGCACCCUACACACGCAGGCGACGCUGAACACGUGCUCGUACCGUCUCCGUCAGUCGUAUGAGCUACAAAAGAGGGGCACAGAUCCAUCUCUGCACUACCUCACAAGAGUCACGGAGACUCGCGACGAAGCUGCCGCCCGAUCGGCGACGGAGUCUUCGCCACUGAUUCGCAUCUUGCAGCAGGGCUGGUAUGUCUUCUUCUUCCCGAUGAGCGAAUGUGGGCGACUGAAGGACAACCUGCUGGUGUACGUCGGCGAGGCCUUGAUUGCCGGCGACGUGGCUGAGUGCGACCUGGCCAAUGACGGCUGUCUACGACCGCUCAAGACAACGACGGCGGUGGCAUUACCUGGGGCCGUGAACGGUCCUCUUGGGGGCACGACAACGGCAGGGGCAUCGAAGUCGACCUCCGCAAACCCACAAUAUUGGAAGUCUCUUUUCUACUACGUGGUCAGCCCUGUCCCCGUGCACUGGGGCACGAGGCAGUCGGCAGACGUCCACUUGACUAUCUUGUGGCGCAGCAUACCAGCUGCCUAUCCAGAGCAUCGACAGAGGAAGAAGAGCGUGACGCUUCUAUACUCGUACUACUGCUCGCCGCGGGCGCCGGACACCUUCACGUGCCGCGCGCACUUCCCCAGUCAUACUCGACUGCGGCUGGUACGCAGCCCAAACUGCGACACUAAGGUGCAACUGCGCAGUGAUGUGACAGAACACAUGGCGAAGGUGCACGUGGAAACCAUGGACGGUAAGCCGCUAGAGACACACCGACACACGCGCGACUACGUCUUCGUGCUACAGUUCUUGUUGGGGGACGACACAGGGAUUCUGGAGGAGUCCGGCGUUUUUGCAGCAGCUGUAGUGGCAAUUGUCUUCCUGCUUCUUCUUUGGCUGUUGCUCACAAAGGACCUCAUUCUGUAACUCAGCUCUCUCAAGGCAUCUGUGUGCGUUUGUGCGGGUGUGUCCCUGGGUACCUUUCUGAAGUGUCUCAUCGUUCUCCCCGCCUAACUGCGCGUCACUGCCCUUUUUGUGCGCCACGCGAGCAAGUGUCGUCCCCUUUCUCCCUGCACAGCCUUUUCUGUGUGCCUCUCUCGCUGUCACGCAGAGACGAAAACCCUGCAUAUACGCAUGCUGAAGGAUGCGGCACUUCUUCGAACGUGCACUACCCAGAAGGCAGGGCAAAAAGCUGUACCCUUACAAAUGGGAUUCCAUGACAGCAGCGGUGUCACCGGUGCUCCCGAGACCUUCUUGGCGGCUUUCGUGUGGUGCCCAUGCAAUCAAGGCCCCCUACACAGUCCACUCACGCCCUGUGGUCAGUCCUUUUUCUUCGCAUCUCUCUCCGCGAUGAUGGAGGUAAGCGGAGGGCCAACAGCUCACCGUGCGCGGCAUCUCAGGGUCCAGUGCACUUCCCCACCCCUCCCCCCCCCCGCACAAACACACACACACACAUUAUGUCUGUGUGCGGAGGAGCGAAGCGGCCCCUUCCACCCCCCCCCCCCCACCCCCUACCUCUGCUAAUGCCGAACUACCUCCGGCCGUGACAAGAUCCAGUACCCACAGCGUAGGGAUGUCAGUGCGAUGUAUCGCUGCUGACGCCGGCGGUGUAGUCGUGGAUGGGCGCGGCUGUGAUGCGACCAGCGAGGCACUGGUGGGUAGGGUUUGAGGCAAAGGCCACGCUCUCCGAUGGCCGGGUCGGCGCACUGCUGCAAGGCGCGUCUGUGCGACUGCUUCGCACGCACGCGACGUGCCCGCUGUGGCAGCCCCGGGGGGGGGGCUGGCGAUAGUGGUGAUUGCGUCGUUUUUGGAGGGCACAGAAACGGACCACUGCUACACAGGAGAAAAAACGGAAUUGCGGUUUUCACACACUCCUUCCCUCUGCACACUCUUUUUCUGUCUUCUUUGUCUGCUUCAUGCCGAAUGCCUACCGCCAUGGCGACGAUUGCCCGCGCUUCUGUGCGUGUGCCGACGUUUUCUCAUGUCUGUCCCCUCUGCCCCGUAAUAG
Molecule: unclassified non-coding RNA, 2424 nt
Filed under: Leishmania donovani
Lineage: Eukaryota; Euglenozoa; Kinetoplastea; Trypanosomatida; Trypanosomatidae
Description: gene:LdHU3.34.5050(CDS-product:hypothetical_prote in_conserved)
Source: RNAcentral